GAUGAACGCUGGCGGCGUGCCUAAUACAUGCAAGUCGAGCGAACAGACGAGGAGCUUGCUCCUCUGACGUUAGCGGCGGACGGGUGAGUAACACGUGGAUAACCUACCUAUAAGACUGGGAUAACUUCGGGAAACCGGAGCUAAUACCGGAUAAUAUAUUGAACCGCAUGGUUCAAUAGUGAAAGACGGUUUUGCUGUCACUUAUAGAUGGAUCCGCGCCGCAUUAGCUAGUUGGUAAGGUAACGGCUUACCAAGGCAACGAUGCGUAGCCGACCUGAGAGGGGGAUCGGCCACACUGGAACUGAGACACGGUCCAGACUCCUACGGGAGGCAGCAGUAGGGAAUCUUACGCAAUAGGCGAAAGCCUGACGGAGCAACGCCGCGUGAGUGAUGAAGGUCUUCGGAUCGUAAAACUCUGUUAUUAGGGAAGAACAAAUGUGUAAGUAACUAUACACGUCUUGACGGUACCUAAUCAGAAAGCCACGGCUAACUACGUG
Molecule: ribosomal RNA, 497 nt
Filed under: uncultured bacterium
Lineage: Bacteria
Description: partial 16S ribosomal RNA
Rfam family: Bacterial small subunit ribosomal RNA
Source: RNAcentral